This 299-nucleotide long non-coding RNA is filed under the name Nicotiana benthamiana. RNAcentral's name for it is "long non-coding RNA (NBEN_LNC003135)". The record is from RNAcentral. Lineage: Eukaryota; Viridiplantae; Streptophyta; Magnoliopsida; Solanales; Solanaceae.
UGGGCUUUAGGUAUGGAUCACUAGUGGAGGAUUACUACACAGGUUAUAGACUUCAAUGUGAAGGUUGGAAAUCAGUGUUUUGCAAUCCUAAAAGGCCUGCAUUUUUAGGAGAUGUACCAAUUUCUCUCCAUGAUGUGGUCAGCCAAAAUAAGAGGUGGUCUGUGGGCCUACUUGAAGUUGGUUUCUCAAAAUAUAGUAUUUCUCUCCAUGAUGUGGUCAGCCAAAACAAGAGGUGGUCUGUGGGCCUACUUGAAGUUGGUUUCUCAAAAUAUAGCCCAUUAACUUUUGGUGUUCGGUCC